GCGAAAGUGGUGGAAUUGGCAGACACGUCAGACUUAGGAUCUGAUGCCGCGAGGCCUGGGGGUUCGAGUCCCCCCUUUCGCA
Molecule: transfer RNA, 82 nt
Filed under: Acidobacteriota bacterium
Lineage: Bacteria; Pseudomonadati; Acidobacteriota
Also listed under: 3 other names
Description: Acidobacteria bacterium (groundwater metagenome) tRNA-Leu
Rfam family: tRNA
About the family: Transfer RNA (tRNA) molecules are approximately 80 nucleotides in length. Their secondary structure includes four short double-helical elements and three loops (D, anti-codon, and T loops).
Source: RNAcentral